CAGUCGACUCCUACGGGGAGGCAGCAGUGGGGAAUUUUGGACAAUGGGCGAAAGCCUGAUCCAGCAAUGCCGCGUGCAGGAUGAAGGCCUCGGGUUGUAAACUGCUUUGUACGGAACGAAAGCCUGGGGCUAAUAUACCCCGGGUCAUGACGGUACCGUAAGAAUAAGCACCGGCUAACUACGUGCCAGCAGCCGCGGUAAUACGUAGGGUGCAAGCGUUAAUCGGAAUUACUGGGCGUAAAGCGUGCGCAGGCGGUUUGUAAGACAGUGGUGAAAUCCCGGGCUCAACCUGGGAACUGCCAUUGUGACUGCAAGGCUAGAGUGCGGCAGAGGGGGAGUGGAAUUCCGCGUGUAGCAGUGAAAUGCGUAGAUAUGCGGAGGAACACCGAUGGCGAAGGCAAUCCCCUGGGCCUGCACUGACGCUCAUGCACGAAAGCGUGGGGAGCAAACAGGAUUAGAUACCCUGGUAG
This 470-nucleotide ribosomal RNA is filed under the name uncultured bacterium. RNAcentral's name for it is "bacterial SSU rRNA". It matches the Rfam family "Bacterial small subunit ribosomal RNA", at positions 329 to 793 of the family's 1533-position model. The record is from RNAcentral.